Molecule: long non-coding RNA, 891 nt
Filed under: Homo sapiens (human)
Lineage: Eukaryota; Metazoa; Chordata; Mammalia; Primates; Hominidae
Description: HSALNT0390698
Source: RNAcentral
AAUGCAACAGUUGGGCAGGAAAUGUCUGUCCUCACCUAGGUCCGUGGGGUGGAUCCCUAACAAGGGACCACGCCCUCCUCUACCCUGCACUUCCCUUCCCCGGUUUCCUAUUAUUUAAAGAGACCAGGGUCUUCCCUUCCCAGCACUCCCAUAUUAAUUCCACGCAAGUGGAAGUCACCAACAGCUACACCAGCAUUGUCAGAAGGAAUAUUAAUUAAACUGCUGUCGCUGCAGAUUGUGACUGGGGGCCUGUUUGCUUGGAUGUAGGAACAAUUGGAGAAAUUCCAUCGCUGCCCAGCUGACACUGGUGGUCAGCUGCUAAUGACCCUUCCGCUGGAGAGAAGAGGAAGUGGGCUUGGCUCUAACUUGCCCUGAUCCCCUUCCAGCCUGACAUUUCUAUGCACAGAGAACUAAUGGAGUCAGACCAGACUGCAAAUUCCCAUGCUGCCAUGCAGAAGCCAGGAGUAUGAAAUCAAGGUGUCAGAGGGGCUGUACUCCCUCCGAAGGCUGCAGGAGAAAAUCUAUUGCUUGCCUCUUCUACCUUUUGGUGGUUCCAGGAGUUCCUUGGCUUGUGAUCACAUCACUGAAAUCUUAACCUACCUGGUCAUACUGCUGCCUCUUCUUCUCUCUCAAAACUUCUCCUGCCUCUCUUCAUACUUGUGAUUGCAUUUAGGGUCCAUCUGGGUACUCCAGGAAAAACUCCUACUGUCAAGAUUUAACUUAAUCAUAUCUUAUGUCAUAUAAAGUCAUGUUCAAUAUUUUACAACAUAAAAUAAUAGUCACAGUUUCUGGAGAUAAGGACAUGGGCGUGUCUUUUGGGGGAUCAUCCUUCAAUCCAUUGCAUCUAUCUAUCAGUGAUCACCCCAACCCAAAUAAACCCGCAUAAUAUUU